RNAcentral lists this ribosomal RNA (484 nucleotides) under uncultured bacterium. RNAcentral describes it as "partial 16S ribosomal RNA". It matches the Rfam family "Bacterial small subunit ribosomal RNA", at positions 30 to 507 of the family's 1533-position model. The record is from RNAcentral.
AUUGAACGCUGGCGGCGGGCCUAACACAUGCAAGUCGAGCGGAUGAAGGGAGCUUGCUCCUGGAUUCAGCGGCGGACGGGUGAGUAAUGCCUAGGAAUCUGCCUGGUAGUGGGGGAUAACGUCCGGAAACGGGCGCUAAUACCGCAUACGUCCUGAGGGAGAAAGUGGGGGAUCUUCGGACCUCACGCUAUCAGAUGAGCCUAGGUCGGAUUAGCUAGUUGGUGGGGUAAAGGCCUACCAAGGCGACGAUCCGUAACUGGUCUGAGAGGAUGAUCAGUCAUACUGGAACUGAGACACGGUCCAGACUCCUACGGGAGGCAGCAGUGGGGAAUAUUGGACAAUGGGCGAAAGCCUGAUCCAGCCAUGCCGCGUGUGUGAAGAAGGUCUUCGGAUUGUAAAGCACUUUAAGUUGGGAGGAAGGGCAGUAAGUUAAUACCUUGCUGUUUUGACGUUACCAACAGAAUAAGCACCGGCUAACUUCGUG